CCAACAUUUUCAUGUACACUGUUCCUAUAGGACGCAUUUGAUUUUGUUUGGAUGGUCCGGAAAGCUGUUUGAAACUUUUAAAUAGUAUGUUGAAGAGUGCGGCAGUACACUACCAUCAUGUAGCAAGCUCUGACAAGGGCUCUAAUGACCCGAGUAUUUGACGUUAUAGUCAGGGGUCAUGUUAUGGUGAAGUUGCUUGAGACUAUUAUAGCCAUUGCCUUGGUUACAUGUGCAGUGUUUGAAGACGUGCUUGUGUGUGUACAGUUAUUAUUGUUUGACCAUAAUUCGUAGUAAGUACUGUUCACGUGUUUUCCCCCUACUAGACCUGAGGAUUUGUACCAACCAGGUGAGGUGGACUUUGACCCCAACGAGGAGAGCUUACUAGCGGAGCUCCACCUAGCAACCAGCGGUAGCAAAGCACCCGGAGUGGAUCAGACAAUGAGAAACUAAUGCUGGAGAAUUAUGCGGCCAUUUUUCAGCCCGGCCAAGUGUUGAGGAGACAAGAAGAGGCACUGAGAAUGGAGGUAGAGGUACAAAGUGUAUUAGCUGGAAAAUGCAUUUGUGUCAUACUUUGUAGAGUCCCUUAAAGUCAUUCAAGGUCACCUAUAGUGUGUCCUAUUUGAAGGUGUGCAAUGUACAAUCAUGUACGAUCCCCCCCCACACACACACCUUUAGGCCUACUGUGCUGCUAAGAAAUAGAGGGGCCUCACGUAAACUGGCCACUCAGUGUGACUAUGAUCAUGUGACUCUUUAACCCGUCAGUUCCCGAGCCCCACCCCUCACUAUCUGACUCGGAAGAGGAGAUAGACUUUAGAUUCUGGGAGAAGGCGUCCACCCUACCCUCGGACAAGACCCCAACCAAGGACCUGAACUUGUUAUGAGACUGUUAAAUAUUAUUUUGUCUGUUUUUGUACUAUUUUCUGGCAAUGUAAUUAUGUAUGUACCACUUCAUGUCAUCAUAAUAACUAUAAUUA
Halichondria panicea is the source of this 974-nucleotide long non-coding RNA. RefSeq lists it as uncharacterized. Lineage: Eukaryota; Metazoa; Porifera; Demospongiae; Suberitida; Halichondriidae. The transcript has 2 exons. The record is from RefSeq and is a predicted model, not a curated record.